UACGUAGGCAGCGAGCGUUGUUCGGAAUUACUGGGCGUAAAGAGUGUGUAGGCGGUGCUCUAAGUUCGGUGUGAAAUCUCCCGCUUAACUGGGAGGGUGCGCCGGAAACUGGAGUGCUCGAGCGUGGGAGAGGAAAGCGGAAUUCCUGGUGUAGCGGUGAAAUGCGUAGAUAUCAGGAGGAACACCUGCGGUGUAGACGGCUUUCUGGACCAUUGCUGACGCUGGAGAACACGAAAGCCGUGGGUAGCAAACAGG
This 255-nucleotide ribosomal RNA is filed under the name uncultured bacterium. Its description in RNAcentral is "partial 16S ribosomal RNA". It matches the Rfam family "Bacterial small subunit ribosomal RNA", at positions 524 to 776 of the family's 1533-position model. The record is from RNAcentral.